RNAcentral lists this ribosomal RNA (495 nucleotides) under uncultured bacterium. Its description in RNAcentral is "partial 16S ribosomal RNA". It matches the Rfam family "Bacterial small subunit ribosomal RNA", at positions 28 to 507 of the family's 1533-position model. The record is from RNAcentral.
GACGAACGCUGGCGGCGUGCCUAAUACAUGCAAGUCGAACGCUGAAGGAGGAGCUUGCUUCUCUGGAUGAGUUGCGAACGGGUGAGUAACGCGUAGGUAACCUGCCUGGUAGCGGGGGAUAACUAUUGGAAACGAUAGCUAAUACCGCAUAAGAGUAGAUGUUGCAUGACAUUUGCUUAAAAGGUGCAAUUGCAUCACUACCAGAUGGACCUGCGUUGUAUUAGCUAGUUGGUGAGGUAACGGCUCACCAAGGCGACGAUACAUAGCCGACCUGAGAGGGUGGUCGGCCACACUGGGACUUGGACACGGCCCAGGCUCCUUCGGGAGGGAGCAGUAGGGAAACAUCGGCAAUGGACGGAAGUCUGACCGAGCAACGCCGCGUGAGGUAAGAAGGUUUUCGGGUCGUAAAGCUCUGUUGUAAGAGAAGAACGAGUGUGAGGGUGGAAAGUUCACGCUGUGACGGUAUCUUACCAGAAAGGGACGGCUAACUACGUG